This 496-nucleotide ribosomal RNA is filed under the name uncultured bacterium. RNAcentral describes it as "partial 16S ribosomal RNA". It matches the Rfam family "Bacterial small subunit ribosomal RNA", at positions 29 to 507 of the family's 1533-position model. The record is from RNAcentral.
AUGCACGCUGGCGGCGUGCCUAAUACAUGCAAGUCGCGCGAACAGACGAGGAGCUUGCUCCUCUGACGUUAGCGGCGGACGGGUGAGUAACACGUGGAUAACCUACCUAUAAGACUGGGAUAACUUCGGGAAACCGGAGCUAAUACCGGAUAAUAUAUUGAACCGCAUGGUUCAAUAGUGAAAGACGGUUUUGCUGUCACUUAUAGAUGGAUCCGCGCCGCAUUAGCUAGUUGGUUAGGUAACGGCUUACCAAGGCAACGAUGCGUAGCCGACCUGAGAGGGUGAUCGGCCACACUGGAACUGAGACACGGUCCAGACUCCUACGGGAGGCAGCAGUAGGGAAUCUUCCGCAAUGGGCGAAAGCCUGACGGAGCAACGCCGCGUGAGUGAUGAAGGUCUUCGGAUCGUAAAACUCUGUUAUUAGGGAAGAACAAAUGUGUAAGUAACUAUGCACGUCUUGACGGUACCUAAUCAGAAAGCCACGGCUAACUACGUG